Mus spicilegus (steppe mouse) is the source of this 2051-nucleotide long non-coding RNA. NCBI's taxonomy places the organism in Eukaryota, Metazoa, Chordata, Mammalia, Rodentia, Muridae. The record is from Ensembl.
GCUGUAUUGUAGCUCUCCUGUGUGCUGGCCUUCCCUUCAGCCGUGCAUGGAACUCUGGGGACCUGACCUCUGCACAGCCAGAUCCAAAACAUGACCUUGGCAUCCUGCUCCCUCACUCUGGUCUGUUUCCCUAUUCUGUGUCUGCCAGGAAGUGAGACCUUGUCUAUAGAAGAGGUGAGCACCCUUGAACGUGUUUCCUAUACGUACACUGGGCUGACCCAGGUCUAGGCAGCAAAAAUCUGAUAUCCAAAGCUAUGUGACCUGCAGGGGCUGUUGAUGGAAGGAGGAAGGGUUCUCUCUUGUCUUACCUGAAUGUGACCUCUUCCAGUCACUUAACACACAAGGACUACUUAUGUGGAUUUGGGGAUGGCAAAAGUUGCUAAAAUAAUAGAUAUAAUAUGCAGAGACCACCUGAGAGUAUAUUCUGUGUGGAAAAAAAUCAAGUUCAGCCAGGCCUGAGGCACCAGAUUCAGGAAGCCAUCCUGAACCCCUGCUUUGUCUCCUGACAAACAAAUGGGGUGAGGUCACAAGGAAGUGACCCCUGAGCUGCGAGUGGACCCUGAGCUUAGGGCACAGAGGCAGAGGAAGAGCAGGAAGCAGGUGCCCCCAGGGUGGGAAGAGUGGGAGAAGGACUGGUGCUCUUCUUCUGAGUGGGCCAGGAAGUGACCCGGUGGUGGGAAGUGGCUGAAGGUGGCGUGUGCAGGGGCAGACUGAGUGCAGGGUCGGAAGCGAGCCUGGUAAACAAAGCUGAGCUGAUGGAUCGCUCAGGACAAUGUGUGCAGUGGAAGUUUCUAGAAACCCGAAGCUGGCAGGGAGAAACAAUAGACAGACAGAGACCAGGGACCUAAGUGUGUGUCAUUCAGAAGACUCUCUGGCAAGUGACUUUUGAAAGCUGCGAGGAUCCCAUCAACCUGGGUGUGUCAUAUGGCUUGGCCUCUCCAUCCCAGGAAGGGAAGCCCAGGAUGGAAGACACGCAUGGAAGAAGAGUCUGAUUGGUGGGACGAGGGGGUUUUCUCAAAUGACGUCACUUCCUUGUGGGCUGACCGCCCUUAUGGGAAGCGAGUUGCCAGGUGUGUUGAGGAUCGCAGGAAGGAACAGGACGGCAGGAACUGGACCAGGGUCAUCUGUGAGCUCAGCACGCACCUGCUCCUCCUGGAGACUUCGGAUGAUCUUCCUGACCUUGAACAUAACUCUCAGAACCACACAUCCCAAAGCUCCAGCAGAGGUCACCUAGAAUGGAGGUGACCAGGCAGUAUCUAGCCUCCCUGGACCCUUUUGUGAGCUUCAGUUUACUUUAUAACUAUGGCAGCAAGGUCUCACCUAGUCAGCUGGAGACGAAGUCACUUGUCUUCUUUCUGUCCUCAGGCCUCACCCUGCCACAGCUAGGGUCUAGCAUCUUUCCACCCCUCCCCCACUUGGGGAGCUUCUCUGAGUACACAUCUUCUUUCUUUUGGAAUUUUUUUUUUUUUUUUUGACAAGCACAGUGCAGAACACGGCAGAACCGGUCUCUCUGGGGACCCGAGACUUUUCUUGGCAGCCCGGCGCAUCUCGAAUUGGCAUGUCUUUUUCCGUACAAACUCCCGCUCUUAGCUUGCAUCUCCCCCUAGCUCCCCUGACUCACACUGUUUCUCUCAGCAAAGCAUAGAUCUCACAUCUCCCCUCCGUACCCUGCCUCAAGCUGUCUGUGUUUUCUCCUAUCUCAGUUCCAACCUGCCACGGUAUCAGCGUUCCCAGCAGCCUCGUGUCCUGCACAUAAGCUGUUAAGUGGCCAUCUGUGCAUUGAUAGAAAAGACUGAACAAGACGUACGUGGUCAAGUUCAGGGAAAGCCCGGGCGUCUCCAGGGACCCACCAGGUGUGUUCGGACUUAGCAUUAGCUCUUCUUUCGAUACAGUCAUUUAACCAGCCAGGGACCUGUGCACAGCAGAAUCCCCAGAGUGUCUGCUGGGACUUGAGGACAUCCACCCUCAUGGACUGAACCAGAACCCCAGUCUUCCAUUGUGAGGCAGCCAUGUAUUGGACUAGCCUCUAAGCCUAAUAAAUCUCAUGUAUA